RNAcentral lists this ribosomal RNA (372 nucleotides) under uncultured bacterium. RNAcentral describes it as "bacterial SSU rRNA". It matches the Rfam family "Bacterial small subunit ribosomal RNA", at positions 521 to 895 of the family's 1533-position model. The record is from RNAcentral.
UAAUACGGAGGGUGCAAGCGUUAUCCGGAUUCACUGGGUUUAGAGGGUGCGUAGGUGGGCAAGUAAGUCAGUGGUGAAAUCUCCGGGCUUAACCCGGAAACUGCCAUUGAUACUAUUUGUCUUGAAUGCUGUGGAGGUCAGCGGAAUAUGUCAUGUAGCGGUGAAAUGCUUAGAUAUGACAUAGAACACCAAUUGCGAAGGCAGCUGGCUACACAAAUAUUGACACUGAGGCACGAAAGCGUGGGGAUCAAACAGGAUUAGAUACCCUGGUAGUCCACGCCCUAAACUAUGGAUACUCGACAUCGGCGAUAAACUGUUGGUGUCUGAGCGAAAGCAUUAAGUAUCCCACCUGGGAAGUACGAUCGCAAGAUU